Molecule: non-coding RNA, 72 nt
Organism: Ornithorhynchus anatinus (platypus)
Lineage: Eukaryota; Metazoa; Chordata; Mammalia; Monotremata; Ornithorhynchidae
Source: Rfam
AGCAGCGUGGUUCAGUGUUUAGACCCUGGACUUGGGAGUCAAAGGUCAUGGGUUUGAAUCCCAGCUCUGCUG